This 200-nucleotide ribosomal RNA is filed under the name uncultured prokaryote. RNAcentral describes it as "partial 16S ribosomal RNA". It matches the Rfam family "Bacterial small subunit ribosomal RNA", at positions 1185 to 1382 of the family's 1533-position model. The record is from RNAcentral.
UCAAGUCAUCAUGCCCCAUAUGUCCUGGGCUACACACGUACUACAAUGGGCUUUAUACAGAGAGAGGCGAAGCCGCGAGGCGGAGCAAAACUCACAAAUAAGCUCUCAGUUCGGAUCGAAGGCUGAAACUCGCCUUCGUGAAGUAGGAAUCGCUAGUAAUCGCAGAUCAGCAUGCUGCGGUGAAUACGUUCCCGGGCCUU